CCUCACAUCUCUGUUGAGGGUCACCAGGAUGGAGGGAUCCGAGUGGUGUGUCAGUCGGCCGGAUGGUACCCAGAGCCCGAGGUGCUGUGGAGAAAUCUCAAAGAGCAGCCUUUGUCUUCGUCAACUAAAACCAAAUCUGAAGAGGAACAUGGUCUCUUUGAAAUAAAAAAUUCUAUCAUUAUAACAGAAAAUUCAAACAAGAAUUUGUCCUGUGCUAUAAGGAACACCCACCUGAACCAAGAAAAAGAAUCAAUAACAUUUUAUAUAUCAGAUUCUUUUUUCCCCAAGAGUAUCUCCCUGGAUGGUGGGUUGGAGUGUGACUUUGGUGAUUUUGUUGGUGUUCGUCGGCCUUACUCUUUUUCUGUUCAAAUUAAAAGGGAAACAUCUCAACAUUAUCAGUAAACUUCAAACAGAGCUAGAGUGGAGGAGAUUCCUGGGUGAUGCAGGUAAUUAAAAAUCAUAUUUAAUCAAUGGGGGGAUCAUGCUCCCUUUUGCUGUGCAAAUAAACAAGGAGAAAACUAUAAUAUUUCCCAGGUGGAAGAAGGGAGGGUGCUGAGGUUCAAAGGAGGGAGAGGAAUGGACCAUCCUCGUAUGUCAUCCUUACACAUUGCUUCCAUAACUCUGGAAACGUCCCUGCGCUGAGUGACUGAGCAGUUAUUGUUUCUUAGGAUCCCCGCCCUAGUGUCAGGUAGAGGAACAAGAGCGCUGACCAGACACACGAGUUCAAACCAAGGAGUCCCUGUGAUCAGUGUUCAGCUUGUGCUUCUUUUCUCUUCUCUCCAUCCACAGUGAUCUCCCCUUUCUGCUCUCUCCGUCAGAUCCGAGCUUCCUGCUGUUUUUAACCAUCUUAUCCACGUUCUCCUCCAUGCAUUCAUUUCUAUCAAACCCUCUUUCUUCUCUCUCCACCACCAACUCUCCUCUCUUGUAGAAGCCCCUUGCUCAUAAAUACAAAUCUUUGUUAGC
Trachemys scripta elegans is the source of this 963-nucleotide long non-coding RNA. RefSeq lists it as uncharacterized. The record is from RefSeq and is a predicted model, not a curated record. The transcript has 5 exons. Lineage: Eukaryota; Metazoa; Chordata; Testudines; Emydidae.